AACUUCCGUUAAUUGAUUAUGACGUACUUGUACUGAUUGAGAUUUUAACACGAAGUGAGUGGCGAACGGGUGAGUAACACGUGGGUAACCUGCCCAGAAGUAGGGGAUAACACCUGGAAACAGAUGCUAAUACCGUAUAACAGAGAAAACCGCAUGGUUUUCUUUUAAAAGAUGGCUCUGCUAUCACUUCUGGAUGGACCCGCGGCGUAUUAGCUAGUUGGUGAGGUAAAGGCUCACCAAGGCAGUGAUACGUAGCCGACCUGAGAGGGUAAUCGGCCACAUUGGGACUGAGACACGGCCCAGACUCCUACGGGAGGCAGCAGUAGGGAAUCUUCCACAAUGGACGCAAGUCUGAUGGAGCAACGCCGCGUGAGUGAAGAAGGGUUUCGGCUCGUAAAGCUCUGUUGUUAAAGAAGAACGUGGGUAAGAGUAACUGUUUACCCAGUGACGGUAUUUAACCAGAAAGCCACGGCUAACUACGUGCCAGCAGCCGCGGUAAUACGUAGGUGGCAAGCGUUAUCCGGAUUUAUUGGGCGUAAAGCGAGCGCAGGCGGUCUUUUAAGUCUAAUGUGAAAGCCUUCGGCUCAACCGAAGAAGUGCAUUGGAAACUGGGAGACUUGAGUGCAGAAGAGGACAGUGGAACUCCAUGUGUAGCGGUGAAAUGCGUAGAUAUAUGGAAGAACACCAGUGGCGAAGGCGGCUGUCUGGUCUGCAACUGACGCUGAGGCUCGAAAGCAUGGGUAGCGAACAGGAUUAGAUACCCUGGUAGUCCAUGCCGUAAACGAUGAUUACUAAGUGUUGGAGGGUUUCCGCCCUUCAGUGCUGCAGCUAACGCAUUAAGUAAUCCGCCUGGGGAGUACGACCGCAAGGUUGAAACUCAAAAGAAUUGACGGGGGCCCGCACAAGCGGUGGAGCAUGUGGUUUAAUUCGAAGCUACGCGAAGAACCUUACCAGGUCUUGACAUCUUCUGACAGUCUAAGAGAUUAGAGGUUCCCUUCGGGGACAGAAUGACAGGUGGUGCAUGGUUGUCGUCAGCUCGUGUCGUGAGAUGUUGGGUUAAGUCCCGCAACGAGCGCAACCCUUAUUACUAGUUGCCAGCAUUAAGUUGGGCACUCUAGUGAGACUGCCGGUGACAAACCGGAGGAAGGUGGGGACGACGUCAAAUCAUCAUGCCCCUUAUGACCUGGGCUACACACGUGCUACAAUGGAUGGUACAACGAGUCGCGAAACCGCGAGGUUAAGCUAAUCUCUUAAAACCAUUCUCAGUUCGGACUGUAGGCUGCAACUCGCCUACACGAAGUCGGAAUCGCUAGUAAUCGCGGAUCAGCAUGCCGCGGUGAAUACGUUCCCGGGCCUUGUACACACCGCCCGUCACACCAUGAGAGUUUGAACACCCAAAGCCGGUGGGGUAAC
This 1413-nucleotide ribosomal RNA is filed under the name Pediococcus pentosaceus. RNAcentral's name for it is "bacterial SSU rRNA". It matches the Rfam family "Bacterial small subunit ribosomal RNA". The record is from RNAcentral. Lineage: Bacteria; Bacillati; Bacillota; Bacilli; Lactobacillales; Lactobacillaceae.